This 253-nucleotide ribosomal RNA is filed under the name uncultured bacterium. Its description in RNAcentral is "partial 16S ribosomal RNA". It matches the Rfam family "Bacterial small subunit ribosomal RNA", at positions 524 to 776 of the family's 1533-position model. The record is from RNAcentral.
UACGGAGGGGGCUAGCGUUGCUCGGAAUUACUGGGCGUAAAGCGCACGUAGGCGGCUUUGUAAGUUAGAGGUGAAAGCCCAGGGCUUAACCCUGGAAUUGCCUUUAAGACUGCAUCGCUAGAAUCGUGGAGAGGUGAGUGGAAUUCCGAGUGUAGAGGUGAAAUUCGUAGAUAUUCGGAAGAACACCAGUGGCGAAGGCGACUCACUGGACAGGUAUUGACGCUGAGGUGCGAAAGCGUGGGGAGCAAACAGG